CUGUCCAGACAUCCCCAUACUUCUCUUCCCAUACCCAACACAAAGAAAGGAAUAGUCAAAAUCCAUCGAACUCCCAACUUACCUUCACAGCUAGGGAGGGCUCGGCUCCACUGAAAAUUGGGCUCACACUCCAGUGGCUCACCAUCGCUUAGAGUGUAGCCAGAGUCACAACUGAAGGUCACCAAAGCACCAACAUAGAAGUCAUUUCCAUGACGAUGACCAUUCACAGGAAUCCCAGGGUCUAAACAGUGGUCUGACUGUAUGGUGACAGCUGGAACAGAGAACCCACAGCUAAAAGGAAGGGCUCACAGAUGUAGCAGAGGAACCACAUCUGGAAAUGAGAGCAGAAUUACUACCUACCAAAUCUGCAUGCAGGUAGAGUAAGUCCAAGAAAUUGCACCUCUCAACAAAAGGGAUUGAGACCUUCUGAGAAUCUGCAGCACUAGGAACUAUGAAUUCAUCCCAGGAAGGGAACUUAAUUGACUAUGCCUAAUCACAUUAUCUAGAACUUCUAAAAGGAAGAGAAAAUAAAAAGAAGACCAAACUGAACACCAGGGUCAGGGCACUCGUUGUGUCGAAAUGCUGUAUAAGAUGGAGGCUGGUUAGCCUGGGCUGACUCCAGAAAUAAAGCCACCACAUCACAGUCACCAAGCCCGGACCUCCGCCAAUGCUUUCCCCAAAGCCUGCAAUGGAGGGGAAGACAAAGUAGCCUUCUUUCCACCUCCCACUCUAAACCUGGGUCCAGCCCAGUAAUUAGGCACUUGAGCAUAGGAAGAAGAAUUUUCACUAGAAACUGCUGAUUCGAGAUCAACUAAAAUGGUAAGAUGUAAAGUCAAGUCUAUUGUCCACUUCAUAAACUCUCCACAAUACUAUAUCUCCAGAGAUGAAAUACGGACCUGGUUGACUAGAAAAAAAAAAAACUAGUCUAGGGUACUUCACCUGAAGUUAUCUGUUCUGUUUCCUUUCCUCCAAGACAGGGUUUCUUCUGAAUCAGCCCAGGCAGGUGAGAAUAGUUCCUUAAAAUAAAGAUCUCCCAACAUUCCCAAUAGACAAUUCCUUUGCCUCAUUGUCAUCCAUACCAAUGGUCCAUUAAAAACAGACACUCAUGAUCUUUAAUGAAGCAAAUUUCCAAUAGAAAACUUGUUUUGUGCUUAAAUU
Molecule: non-coding RNA, 1158 nt
Organism: Monodelphis domestica (gray short-tailed opossum)
Lineage: Eukaryota; Metazoa; Chordata; Mammalia; Didelphimorphia; Didelphidae
Source: RefSeq, a predicted model, not a curated record